AUAUCAAUAAGCGGAGGAAAAGAAACCAACAGGGAUUGCUCUAGUAACGGCGAGUGAAGCAGCAAUAGCUCAAAUUUGAAAUCUGGCGUCUUCGACGUCCGAGUUGUAAUUUGUAGAGGAUGCUUCUGAGUAACCACCGACCUAAGUUCCUUGGAACAGGACGUCAUAGAGGGUGAGAAUCCCGUAUGCGGUCGGAAAGGUGCUCUAUACGUAGCUCCUUCGACGAGUCGAGUUGUUUGGGAAUGCAGCUCUAAAUGGGAGGUAAAUUUCUUCUAAAGCUAAAUAUUGGCCAGAGACCGAUAGCGCACAAGUAGAGUGAUCGAAAGAUGAAAAGCACUUUGGAAAGAGAGUUAAAAAGCACGUGAAAUUGUUAAAAGGGAAGGGAUUGCAACCAGACUUGCUCGCGGUGUUCCGCCGGUCUUCUGACCGGUCUACUCGCCGCGUUGCAGGCCAGCAUCGUCUGGUGCCGCUGGAUAAGACUUGAGGAAUGUAGCUCCCUCGGGAGUGUUAUAGCCUCUUGUGAUGCAGCGAGCGCCGGGCGAGGUCCGCGCUUCGGCUAGGAUGCUGGCGUAAUGGUCGUAAUCCGCCCGUCUUGAAACACGGACCAAGGAGUCUAACAUCUAUGCGAGUGUUCGGGUGUCAAACCCCUACGCGUAAUGAAAGUGAACGGAGGUGAGAACCGCAAGGUGCAUCAUCGACCGAUCCUGAUGUCUUCGGAUGGAUUUGAGUAAGAGCAUAGCUGUUGGGACCCGAAAGAUGGUGAACUAUGCCUGAAUAGGGUGAAGCCAGAGGAAACUCUGGUGGAGGCUCGCAGCGGUUCUGACGUGCAAAUCGAUCGUCAAAUUUGGGUAUAGGGGCGAAAGACUAAUCGA
Molecule: ribosomal RNA, 872 nt
Filed under: Cladosporium pseudocladosporioides
Lineage: Eukaryota; Fungi; Ascomycota; Dothideomycetes; Cladosporiales; Cladosporiaceae
Description: LSU rRNA
Rfam family: Eukaryotic large subunit ribosomal RNA
Source: RNAcentral